This 253-nucleotide unclassified non-coding RNA is filed under the name Glomus sp. Its description in RNAcentral is "partial contains 5.8S ribosomal RNA and internal transcribed spacer 2". The stretch from base 1 to 65 matches the Rfam family "5.8S ribosomal RNA", at positions 84 to 154 of the family's 154-position model. Lineage: Eukaryota; Fungi; Glomeromycota; Glomeromycetes; Glomerales; Glomeraceae. The record is from RNAcentral.
GUGAAUCAUCAAAUUUUUGAACGCAAAUUGCACUCUCUUCGGAGAGUAUGCCUGUUUGAGGGUCAGCGUAUAAAUAAUUAACAUCGUUGCUGUUUCGCGGUGGCGUUCGUCGGGAAUUGGGUCAUCUUCGAUUCUUUUUCUUUAAGCGACUUAAAAUUUUCUUAUGGUUCUAUGAACGUUACUAAGAUCUAUUUCUUUCCACGUUUAUGGUAUCGAUUUUUACUAGACGUCACCAUCAUAUCGGACCGCGACC